RNAcentral lists this unclassified non-coding RNA (296 nucleotides) under Mycobacteroides abscessus. RNAcentral's name for it is "16S-23S ribosomal RNA intergenic spacer". Lineage: Bacteria; Bacillati; Actinomycetota; Actinomycetes; Mycobacteriales; Mycobacteriaceae. The record is from RNAcentral.
GGAGCACCAUUUCCCAGUCGAAUGAACUAGGGAACAUAAAGUAGGCAUCUGUAGUGGGUAUCUACUUGGUGAAUAUGUUUUGUAAAUCCUGUCCACCCCCGUGGAUGGGUAGUCGGCAAAACGUCGGACUGUCAUAAGAAUUGAAACGCUGGCACACUGUUGGGUCCUGAGGCAACACGUUGUGUUGUCACCCUGCUUGGUGGUGGGGUGUGGACUUUGACUUCUGAAUAGUGGUUGCGAGCAUCUAAACAUAGCCUCGCUCGUUUUCGAGUGAGGCUGGUUUUUGCAAUUUUAUU